RNAcentral lists this transfer RNA (69 nucleotides) under Marmota monax (woodchuck). Its description in RNAcentral is "tRNA.Ala". The stretch from base 6 to 64 matches the Rfam family "tRNA", at positions 7 to 64 of the family's 71-position model. From Rfam's summary of the family: Transfer RNA (tRNA) molecules are approximately 80 nucleotides in length. Their secondary structure includes four short double-helical elements and three loops (D, anti-codon, and T loops). Lineage: Eukaryota; Metazoa; Chordata; Mammalia; Rodentia; Sciuridae. The record is from RNAcentral.
GAAGAGUAACUCAGUGGUAGAGCACUUGCCUGGCAUGCAUGAGGCCCUGGGUUCCAUUCCCAGCACUCA